GACGAACGCUGGCGGCGUGCUUAACACAUGCAAGUCGAACGAAGUGGCGAACGGGUGAGUAACGCGUAAUCACCCUGCCCUUCAGAGGGGGACAACAGUUGGAAACGACUGCUAAUACCGCAUACGGAAGGAGGGGAAUGUGUUUGAUUGGCUAGUUGGAGGGGUAACGGCCAACGAAGGCGAUGAUCAGUAGCCGGUCUGAGAGGAUGGACGGCCACAUUGUGACUUAGACACGGCCCAGACUACUACGGGAGGCAGCAGUAGGGAAUCUUCCGCAAUGGACGAAAGUCUGACGAAGCAACGCCGCGUGAGUGAUGACGGCCUUCGGGUUGUAAAGCUCUGUUAAUCGGGACGCGGUACCGGAAUAGAAAGCCACGGCUAACUACGUGCCAGCAGCCGCGGUAAUUC
Molecule: ribosomal RNA, 408 nt
Filed under: uncultured bacterium
Lineage: Bacteria
Description: partial 16S ribosomal RNA
Rfam family: Bacterial small subunit ribosomal RNA
Source: RNAcentral